Molecule: ribosomal RNA, 484 nt
Filed under: uncultured bacterium
Lineage: Bacteria
Description: partial 16S ribosomal RNA
Rfam family: Bacterial small subunit ribosomal RNA
Source: RNAcentral
AUUGAACGCUGGCGGCAUGCCUAACACAUGCAAGUCGAGCGGAUGAAGUGAGCUUGCUCCUGUAUUCAUCGGCGGACGUGUGAGUAAUGCCUAGGAAUCUGCCUGGUAGUUGGGGAUAACGUCCGGAAACGGGCGCUAAUAGCGCAUACUUCCUGAUGGUGAAAGUGGGGGAUCUUCCGACCUCACGCUAUCAGAUAAGCCUAGGUCUGAUUAGCUAGUUGGUGGGUUAAAGGUCUACCAAGGCGACGAUCCGUAACUGGUCUGAGAGGAAGAUUAGUCACACUGGAACUGAGACACGGUCCAGACUCCUACGGGAGGAAGCAGUGGGGAAUACUGGACAAAGGGCGAAAGCCUGAUACAGCAAUGCCGCGUGUGUGAAGAAGGUCUUAGGAUUGUAAAGCAAUUUAAGUUGGGAGGAAGGGCAGUAAGUUAAUAACUUGCUGAUUUGACGUUACCAACAGAAUAAGCACCGGCUAACUUCGUG